GCUGGGGUUGGCGAUCUUGGCGAGGACAGAGUGGUGGGGGUGGUCGGGGAGGCCGGGGUAGAUGACCUUUAGGCCCAGUUUUUUCAUGCGGUUCGCAUAGACUAAGGCUCGGUUGCAGUGCUCUUUCAUUCGGAGAGGAAGGUGAGCCAUGCGCUCCGAGAUCUCAAAAGCUACCUUGGCAUUCAUGGUUGGGCCGAGGAGCAUUAGGGCUCCAUCGUGGAGGUCCAUCAUUUUGUUCACCAGGCUCGCUGGCCCACAGAUCGCACCUGCAAUAAUGUCGGCACCGCCGCUGAUGUACUUCGACACGCUGUGCACCACCACAUCCGCCCCCAGCUUCGCCGGCGAGACCACCAUCGGCGUAAACGUAUUAUCCACCACCAGCAUCACCCCUUUCUCCCUCGCCACCUCGCUCAGCCUCGGAAUAUCCGCCACCGCCAGCGUCGGAUUCGACUCCGACUCCACAUACAACACCUUCGUCUCCGCCCGGAUCGCCGCCGCCACCUCCGCCAUAUCCCCAG
RNAcentral lists this unclassified non-coding RNA (518 nucleotides) under Hevea brasiliensis (rubber tree). The record is from RNAcentral. Lineage: Eukaryota; Viridiplantae; Streptophyta; Magnoliopsida; Malpighiales; Euphorbiaceae.